GAUGAAGAACGUAGCGAAAUGCGAUAAGUAAUGUGAAUUGCAGAAUUCAGUGAAUCAUCGAAUCUUUGAACGCACAUUGCGCCCGCCAGUAUUCUGGCGGGCAUGCCUGUCUGAGCGUCAUUUCAACCCUCAUGCCCCUAGGGCGUGGUGUUGGGGAUCGGCCAAAGCCCGCGAGGGACGGCCGGCCCCUAAAUCUAGUGGCGGACCCGUCGUGGCCUCCUCUGCGAAGUAGUGAUAUUCCGCAUCGGAGAGCGACGAGCCCCUGCCGUUAAACCCCCAACUUUCCAAGGUUGACCUCAGAUCAGGUAGGAAUACCCGCUGAACUUAAGCAUAUCAAUAAGCGGAGG
This 347-nucleotide unclassified non-coding RNA is filed under the name soil metagenome. Its description in RNAcentral is "partial contains 5.8S ribosomal RNA, internal transcribed spacer 2, and large subunit ribosomal RNA". The stretch from base 1 to 120 matches the Rfam family "5.8S ribosomal RNA", at positions 35 to 154 of the family's 154-position model. The record is from RNAcentral.